ACUGCCACCACCGAGCUCCCCCCAUUGAGAGUGGACUCUGUGCGUGUGUCCCCCAGGAACGGUGACAAGUACGACGGCGACUGGGUCCGGGACCGGCGUCAGGGACACGGGGUGCUGCGCGGCGCCGACGGCUCCACCUACGAGGGACAGUGGCACAGCGACGUCUUCAGUGGACUGGGCAGCAUGGCCCACUGCUCAGGGGUCACCUAUUAUGGGUUGUGGAUCAACGGCCACCCAGCAGAACAAGCUACGAGGAUCGUGAUCUUGGGUCCGGAGGUGAUGGAAGUGGCCCAAGGGUCUCCCUUCUCGGUGAACGUUCAGCUGCUGCAGGACCACGGGGAAAUUGCCAAGAAUGGAGUUUCACUCUUGCUGCCCAGGCUGGAGUGCAGUGGUGCAAUGUCGGCUCUCCGCAACCUCCGCCUCCCGCGUUCAAGCGAUUCUGCCUUGGCCUCCUGAGUAGCUGGGAUUACAGGCAUGUGCCAUCAUGCCCCACUAAUUUUGUAUUUUGAGUAGAGAUGGGGUUUCGCCAUGUUGGUCAGGCUGGUCUCGAACUCCCGACCUCAGGUGAUCAGCCCGCCUCAG
Molecule: small RNA, 582 nt
Filed under: Pan troglodytes (chimpanzee)
Lineage: Eukaryota; Metazoa; Chordata; Mammalia; Primates; Hominidae
Description: retained intron
Source: RNAcentral